RNAcentral lists this RNase P RNA (356 nucleotides) under Oscillospiraceae bacterium. RNAcentral describes it as "RNase P RNA component class A". It matches the Rfam family "Bacterial RNase P class A". From Rfam's summary of the family: Ribonuclease P (RNase P) is a ubiquitous endoribonuclease, found in archaea, bacteria and eukarya as well as chloroplasts and mitochondria. Lineage: Bacteria; Bacillati; Bacillota; Clostridia; Eubacteriales; Oscillospiraceae. The record is from RNAcentral.
CGAGUAAAACAUACGAUGGCGGGGAUGUGUGAAAGCACAUCCGUGAGGAAAGUCCGUGCUGCUCAGGACAUGGAUAGCUGAUAACGUCAGCCGAGGGCGACCUUAGAGAUAGUGCAACAGAGAUAUACCGCUGAAACUGCAUAACCUGCAGUUUUCAGUAAGGGUGGAAAGGUGAGGUAAGAGCUCACCAGCGGUGUGGAGACAUACCGGCUAUGUAAACCUUAUCCGCAGCAACUCCCGACAGCAGAGCAUAUGUAGUCCUGCAGCUCUCAGGAGGAGGCUUGAACUUUAUGGCAACAUAAAGUCUAGAUAGAUCAUCGUUUAAUACAGAACACGGCUUACGGUUUACUCGUAAC